Homarus americanus (American lobster) is the source of this 3376-nucleotide RNA transcript. It is a transcript of the gene named cytochrome c oxidase subunit 1-like, with no coding region annotated. The transcript has a single exon. NCBI's taxonomy places the organism in Eukaryota, Metazoa, Arthropoda, Malacostraca, Decapoda, Nephropidae. The record is from RefSeq and is a predicted model, not a curated record.
UCCAGUGAUAUACACAUCUUUAGAUUUGCAAUCUAACGUCUUAAUAAUUUCCACUAUGCAGCCUAAUAAGAAAGUUUAAACUUGUUUAUAGAUUUACAAUCUAUCGCCUAUUCCUCAGCCACCUUAUCACGCAACGAUGACUCUUUUCAACAAAUCAUAAAGACAUUGGUACCCUAUAUUUUAUCUUCGGAGCAUGAGCAGGCAUAGUAGGGACUUCAUUAAGACUGGUAAUUCGUGCUGAAUUAGGUCAACCAGGAAGCCUCAUUGGUGACGAUCAAAUCUACAAUGUAGUUGUAACCGCCCACGCUUUUGUUAUAAUUUUCUUCAUAGUUAUACCCAUUAUAAUUGGAGGCUUUGGAAACUGACUUGUACCACUUAUACUAGGAGCUCCAGAUAUAGCAUUUCCCCGUAUGAACAAUAUAAGAUUUUGACUUCUUCCUUUUUCUUUAACAUUAUUAUUAACAAGAGGAAUAGUAGAAAGUGGAGUAGGAACUGGGUGAACUGUCUACCCUCCACUCUCAGCGGCAAUUGCUCACGCAGGUGCUUCCGUUGACUUAGGAAUUUUCUCGCUUCAUCUGGCUGGGGUCUCAUCUAUUUUAGGUGCAGUAAAUUUUAUGACAACUGCCAUUAAUAUACGAAGAAAAGGUAUAACAAUAGACCGAAUACCCUUAUUUGUGUGAUCAGUAUUUAUUACAGCAGUUCUUUUGCUACUCUCGCUUCCUGUUUUAGCAGGAGCUAUUACUAUACUCUUAACAGAUCGAAACUUAAAUACUUCAUUCUUCGAUCCAGCUGGAGGUGGAGACCCAGUUCUUUACCAACAUUUAUUCUGGUUUUUUGGGCAUCCUGAAGUUUAUAUUCUUAUUCUUCCUGCUUUUGGUAUAAUCUCCCACAUUGUAACACAAGAAUCCGGGAAAAAAGAAGCCUUUGGAACUCUAGGAAUAAUUUAUGCUAUGAUAGCAAUUGGAAUUCUUGGCUUCGUUGUUUGAGCACACCACAUAUUUACUGUAGGUAUGGAUGUAGACACUCGAGCUUAUUUUACUUCUGCAACAAUAAUUAUUGCAGUUCCUACAGGAAUUAAAAUUUUUAGAUGAUUGGGCACCCUUCAAGGUACCCAAAUCAAUUACAGUCCAUCUCUUCUCUGAGCUCUUGGUUUUAUUUUUCUCUUUACAGUUGGUGGUCUUACAGGAGUAGUUCUUGCUAAUUCAUCUAUUGAUAUUAUUCUUCAUGACACAUAUUAUGUUGUUGCUCACUUUCAUUACGUUCUAUCUAUAGGCGCAGUUUUUGGCAUCUUUGAAGGAAUUGCUCACUGAUUCACCCUAUUUACGGGCUUAUCUAUAAAUCCUAAAUGGUUAAAAAUUCACUUUUUAACUAUAUUUACAGGAGUAAAUAUCACUUUCUUCCCACAACAUUUCUUAGGAUUAAAUGGAAUACCACGACGAUACUCUCUGACGCAUUCACCGCAUGAAAUGUUCUAUCUUCAAUUGGAUCAAUAAUUUCUCUUGUAGCCGUUCUUAGAUUCAUCAUUAUUGUAUGAGAGUAUGAGAAGCUUUGGUAGUUAAACGAACAGUUAUAUUUUCUUUAUUCUUACCUACUUCGAUUGAAUGACAGCAUGCUUAUCCCCCAGCUGACCACAGUUAUAUAGAAAUCCCUAUAAUCACUAACUACUAAAAUGACAGAUAGAUGUGCAGGAUUUAAGCUCCUGUUAGGGAAAAUUAUUUCCUUUUAGUAAUGGCAACAUGAGGUCACCUAGGAUUCCAAGACAGUGCGUCACCCCUUAUAGAGCAACUUAUUUUCUUCCAUGAUCAUACUAUGGUAGUAUUGAUUUUAAUUACUACUUUUGUUGGUUAUAUAAUAGCCGCUAUAUUUCCUAAUGCUUUUGUUAAUCGUUUUCUCCUUGAAAACCAAACAAUCGAAGUAAUUUGAACAAUCCUUCCUGCUAUUAUUCUUAUUUUUAUUGCUCUCCCUUCACUUCGGUUACUUUAUCUUCUAGAUGAAGUUAAUAACCCUAGAAUCACUCUUAAAACAAUUGGACACCGAUGAUAUUGAAGGUAUGAAUACUCAGACUUUCUGCAAGUAGAGUUUGACUCCUAUAUAACUCCAUCUAACGAACUAGAUUUAUCUGGAUUUCGACUUUUAGACGUAGACAACCGAACUGUAUUACCUAUAAACACACAAGUUCGAAUGUUAGUCACCGCUGCUGAUGUUAUUCAUUCUUGAACUGUUCCAGCUCUGGGAGUAAAAGCAGAUGCAAUUCCCGGCCGUCUUAACCAAAUUAGAUUUAUGGUUAACCGACCAGGAUUGUUUUUUGGGCAAUACUCAGAAAUUUGUGGAGCUAACCAUAGAUUUAUACCAAUUGUAGUAGAAAGUGUGUCAGUCUCAGCUUUUUUAAAUUGAAUCUCCUCCUCAUCCGAUCUAUCACCCGAUGACUGAAAGCAAGUAUAGGUCUUUUAAACCUAUCAUAGUAGAGGCGCCUACUUCUGGUGGAAAAAGUUAGUUAAUUAAUAAUAUGAGCUUGUCAAGCUUAAGUAAUUCCACUGGAAUACUUUUUGAUGCCUCAAAUAGCACCUCUUUUAUGAUUAAAUCUAUUUUUUAUAUUUCUUAUUGGGUUUCUUUUGUUUUUUAUUCUAAACUAUUUUAUAAAAUCUCCACUUAAAAUGUCCCCUUCAAUUGAACUAAAAGCUCAACACCAAAAAACCUGAAAAUGAUAACAAGACUAUUUUCUAUUUUUGAACCUUCUUCAAGAAUCUUUUCAUUAUCAAUCAAUUGAUUAUCAACUUUUGUUGGGUUACUUUUUAUUCCCUACCUUUAUUGAGCGGCUCCCUCACGUUGAGCAUUAGUUUGAUCCAAAAUUAUGCAACUUCUUCACAAUGAAUUUCAAGCAAUUUUAGGGCAAGCCACUAAAGGUUCAACUAUUUUAUUCAUUUCUUUAUUUAGAUUUAUUAUAUUCAAUAACACUCUCGGACUUCUCCCAUAUGUAUUUACUAGAUCAAGACACCUUGCGAUAACUCUUACGCUUGCUUUACCUUUAUGGCUAACUUUUAUUUUAUUUGGUUGGAUUAACCAUACCCAACACAUGCUUGCUCAUAUAGUUCCCCAAGGAACACCAGGGCUUCUAAUACCAUUUAUAGUGUUAGUAGAAACUUUAAGAAAUAUUAUUCGACCAGGAACUUUAGCCGUUCGACUAGCAGCUAACAUAAUUGCAGGACAUCUUUUGUUGACACUUUUAGGCAAUAUAGGCCCUUCUUUGUCUUUGACUUUAGUGUCGUUUUUAAUACUAGCUCAAAUCCUUCUUUUAAUACUAGAAUCUGCUGUUGCAAUAAUUCAAUCGUAUGUAUUUGCUGUUCUAAGGACUUUAUAUGCCAGAGAAGUUAACUAA